UUUUUUCAACGCCCCUUGGCAAUCAUUAUUCCACCUGACCGUUUGAUCUCUUUUUUUUCUUGAAGGGGUUCCCACGUGGCUGUUAGGUGAGAUGUGAACCAUGACAUGUAGUUCAAUCUACCCAGGAGACCACGAACCUCUCUUUCUGUUCUCGGUUCAGGCAUUCCUUUUUUCUUUUCCUUUUUUUUUUUUUUUUAGCAGGAUCAACCUCGAUUCCUCUCUUACAAUGAACCCCAUCAGCUUACCGGCCCGCACUCUGAUAGUGCACUUGUCUGAAUUCAACCUCCGUUUGAAUUGUCUCAACCAGUUCCCUCAGCUUGGUCAGAUCCACCAGAUGCCCCUCUUCUGCUUGGGACUUUGCUAUCAUGUCAUCAACAUAGCAUUCAAUUUC
This 391-nucleotide long non-coding RNA is filed under the name Lathyrus oleraceus (garden pea). RNAcentral describes it as "Pisum sativum (pea) long non-coding RNA (PSAT_LNC023812)". Lineage: Eukaryota; Viridiplantae; Streptophyta; Magnoliopsida; Fabales; Fabaceae. The record is from RNAcentral.